UGCCUAGCUGGGAUUAGCCUAGUGUGAGGUAAGGGCUCCACCAAGCCGACGAUCCCUAGCUGGUUCUGAGAGGAUGAUCAGCCACCACUGGAACUGAGACACGGUCCAGACUCCUACGGGAGGCAGCAGUGGGGAAUAUUGCACAAUGGGCGCAAGCUUGAUGCAGCCAUGCCGCGUGUGUGAAGAAGGCCUUUCGGGUUGUAAAGCACUUUCAGUCGUGAGGAAGGUAGUGUAGUUUAAUAGCUGCAUUAUUUGACGUUAGCGACAGAAGAAGCACCGGCUAACUCCGUGCCAGCAGCCGUGGUAAUACGGAGGGUGCGAGCGUUAAUCGGAAUUACUGGGCGUAAAGCGCAUGCAGGUGGUUUGUUAAGUCAGAUGUGAAAGCCCGGGGCUCAACCUCGGAAUUGCAUUUGAAACUGGCAGACUAGAGUACUGUAGAGGGGGGUAGAAUUUCAGGUGUAGCGGUGAAAUGCGUAGAGAUCUGAAGGAAUACCGGUGGCGAAGGCGGCCCCCUGGACAGAUACUGACACUCAGAUGCGAAAGCGUGGGGAGCAAACAGGAUUAGAUACCCUGGUAGUCCACGCCGUAAACGAUGUCUACUUGGAGGUUGUGGCCUUGAGCCGUGGCUUUCGGAGCUAACGCGUUAAGUAGACCGCCUGGGGAGUACGGUCGCAAGAUUAAAACUCAAAUGAAUUGACGGGGGCCCGCACAAGCGGUGGAGCAUGUGGUUUAAUUCGAUGCAACGCGAAGAACCUUACCUACUCUUGACAUCCAGAGAACUUUCCAGAGAUGGAUUGGUGCCUUCGGGAACUCUGAGACAGGUGCUGCAUGGCUGUCGUCAGCUCGUGUUGUGAAAUGUUGGGUUAAGUCCCGCAACGAGCGCAACCCUUAUCCUUGUUUGCCAGCGAGUAAUGUCGGGAACUCCAGGGAGACUGCCGGUGAUAAACCGGAGGAAGGUGGGGACGACGUCAAGUCAUCAUGGCCCUUACGAGUAGGGCUACACACGUGCUACAAUGGCGCAUACAGAGGGCGGCCAACUUGCGAGAGUGAGCGAAUCCCAAAAAGUGCGUCGUAGUCCGGAUCGGAGUCUGCAACUCGACUCCGUGAAGUCGGACAUCGCUAGUAAUCGUGAUCAGACGCAUCGUAAUGG
RNAcentral lists this ribosomal RNA (1150 nucleotides) under Vibrio campbellii. RNAcentral's name for it is "bacterial SSU rRNA". It matches the Rfam family "Bacterial small subunit ribosomal RNA", at positions 228 to 1365 of the family's 1533-position model. Lineage: Bacteria; Pseudomonadati; Pseudomonadota; Gammaproteobacteria; Vibrionales; Vibrionaceae. The record is from RNAcentral.